GCAGCACUCACCUAGGGGUCACUGAGGAUUUGGUUCAAGUCACAGUGCCUUUUCUGUCAGUGGUCUUCACUUGCUUUAUCUAGGAUCUGAGGAGCAGGAGCAAGGAACUCAGGGAGAGAUCCAGGAAGACUCUGACUGUGUUAAGAGAGGACAGACACAGGACACGGGAGCGAGGACACUUGCAGCAAAGUAAAAUGACUUCACAACUAUUGCAUCAGAGCUGCAGGUGUGAGAGAGCCUAAGCCUGUCUCAGAGUGCAGGGGACAAGAGGAAAGGAAUGCGUUCCGAGGAGAGAAUUCAGCGGUGCAGCAUCCUCUCCGAGCUCUAUGAGUUAAUCGGCUGCCACUGCAAGUCCGCCUUCUUCAAGCGGGUGGCCCCCGUGCAGCGCUCGGCCCACCGGUAA
This is a long non-coding RNA of Camelus dromedarius (Arabian camel), 403 nucleotides long. NCBI's taxonomy places the organism in Eukaryota, Metazoa, Chordata, Mammalia, Artiodactyla, Camelidae. The record is from Ensembl.